This 69-nucleotide transfer RNA is filed under the name Smilodon populator (Greater saber-toothed cat). RNAcentral describes it as "tRNA-Val". It matches the Rfam family "tRNA". Rfam says of the family: Transfer RNA (tRNA) molecules are approximately 80 nucleotides in length. Their secondary structure includes four short double-helical elements and three loops (D, anti-codon, and T loops). Lineage: Eukaryota; Metazoa; Chordata; Mammalia; Carnivora; Felidae. The record is from RNAcentral.
CAAGAUGUAGCUUAAACCAAAGCAUCUGGCCUACACCCAGAAGAUUUCAUAAUAAACUGACCAUCUUGA